This is a long non-coding RNA of Solanum stenotomum, 569 nucleotides long. RefSeq lists it as uncharacterized. The record is from RefSeq and is a predicted model, not a curated record. The transcript is spliced from 3 exons. Lineage: Eukaryota; Viridiplantae; Streptophyta; Magnoliopsida; Solanales; Solanaceae.
GAGUUUUGACUCAACUGUUAUGCCUUGCAUUUACAGCUUGACCCGUUCUUGCUUCCUGUUGUCCAAGGCAGUAUCCUUGUAAUUCAGUUAAAUACAUGAAUUUUUUCAAGUAGUAUAGCUACUUCAAUCCCUGCAUUACGAGGGUGAUUUUCUGCUCAUUGUCUUGAAGAGUCUCAUCCAGAAGCAAUCAGCCCUUGGUCUGCGACAGUAGAUUCACAUUUGUUUUCUCAUUUCUUUGGUCACUGCCCUGUAAUUACUGCUCAAGGUCGAACACAUCCUGUUUCAACUUAUUUUCUCAAGGAAAUUUAUGAGAGUAUCAAUUACCGCCUUGCAUAUGAUUCUCCUGAUUCUUUAAGUUAUGGGACAUCUACUAGGGAAAAGAAUGCUCCUAUUGGCAAUCAUAGGGGGGAAAAGAACCUUGUCCUCUCUGCAUUGGGUGAUGAAUUAUUGCUUACAUAAAUCCCCAUUAUGAUUCCAGUAAUUAUCAAAACUACAGUGGACAAACUCAAAAGAAAAAUUGGUGAUUGCUUCUUAAAAGUAGUUUUCAGUGAUGCUAAUUAAGAUCCUAA